UACGAAGGGGGCUAGCGUUGCUCGGAAUCACUGGGCGUAAAGCGCACGUAGGCGGCUUUCUAAGUCAGGGGUGAAAUCCCGGAGCUCAACUCCGGAACUGCCUUUGAUACUGGAAAGCUUGAGUUCGGGAGAGGUGAGUGGAACUGCGAGUGUAGAGGUGAAAUUCGUAGAUAUUCGCAAGAACACCAGUGGCGAAGGCGGCUCACUGGCCCGAUACUGACGCUGAGGCGCGAGAGCGCGGGGAGCGAACGGG
This 253-nucleotide ribosomal RNA is filed under the name uncultured bacterium. Its description in RNAcentral is "partial 16S ribosomal RNA". It matches the Rfam family "Bacterial small subunit ribosomal RNA", at positions 524 to 776 of the family's 1533-position model. The record is from RNAcentral.